AGUGAACGCUGGCGGCGUGCCUAACACAUGCAAGUCGUGCGAGAAAGGGAGCAAUCCUGAGUAAAGCGGCGAACGGGUGAGUAACACGUGGUUAACCUGCCUGGAUGUGGGGGAUACCCCGGGGAAACCCGGGACAAUACCGCAUGAUGUCUCUCGGGCGUCGGCCUGGGAGAGCAAAGCCGGGGACCGCAAGGCCUGGCGCAUCCAGAGGGGACCGCGGCCGAUUAGCUAGUUGGCGGGGUAAUGGCCCACCAAGGCAUCGAUCGGUAGCCGGCCUGAGAGGGUGAACGGCCACACCGGAACUGAGACACGGUCCGGACUCCUACGGGAGGCAGCAGUGGGGAAUUUUGCGCAAUGGGCGAAAGCCUGACGCAGCAACGCCGCGUGGAGGAUGAAGAUCUUCGGGUUGUAAACUCCUUUCGAUCGAGACGAAUGGCCCUUGGGCUAACAUCCUGAGGGAGUGACGGUACCGAGAGAAGAAGCCCCGGCUAAACUCCGUGCCAGCAGCCGCGGUAAU
This 517-nucleotide ribosomal RNA is filed under the name uncultured bacterium. RNAcentral's name for it is "bacterial SSU rRNA". It matches the Rfam family "Bacterial small subunit ribosomal RNA", at positions 30 to 524 of the family's 1533-position model. The record is from RNAcentral.